Long non-coding RNA from Haemorhous mexicanus (house finch), 1266 nucleotides. RefSeq lists it as uncharacterized. The record is from RefSeq and is a predicted model, not a curated record. NCBI's taxonomy places the organism in Eukaryota, Metazoa, Chordata, Aves, Passeriformes, Fringillidae. The transcript has 2 exons.
UUUUGUUCAAGAAUUUUCAGUGUCUAUCAUCUCUACCUUGUUAUAUUAUUUGCCUCUGGGGUUUCUCCCCUCCUCUGUGAGAUCCCCAUUGAUUCAGAUAUGUUGUACACUCCUCCCCUGCCCUUAUCUUAUUGGUUGCCUUGUGUCUCCUCCCUCCAUGCCCACUCCCUUUAUCAGUUCCUCCCCGAGCCCUUCUCCCUUGACACUCGACCCUGGAACCAUCGAGGAAUAAAGCCUCCUUGUUAGCCAUACAGGUGUCCUCUCUUUGCUUCCUCUGCCUUGGAUUCUUUGUUGCCUCACUCUCUCCUGUGCCACCCACGCUGCAGACGGCAUCACCACCUGGGAUCCAGUAGGGGGACUCAGGGGUGGCAAAUCUUGUGGCCUCCUCCAGCCAAGAUUUGGGAGCAGCUAGCUGGGACUGACUGGCUCGCAUGGCCGCCGAGAAGUGCUGCACAAUUGAACUCUGGAGCCCAGCUGUGGGCCCUGGAAUUCAGCGGAAAACUGGAAAGGCUUUUUACAAGGACUGACAGUGAAGAGCUAACAGAUGAAUGUGUGUGGCAUUUCGAGAGGCUUCCAAUUUUCUACAUUUUUCCUUGAACUGUUGAACUUGACUUCUUCUUUGCCUCCUCUUGCACUAAAGGAGCCUCAUCUCACCAGCCAGGAAGGCAAAGCUUAUUCCUUAUUCCUGGCCCUAUGGAUGGGUGCUGUCCAUGCAGCAUUUCCAUCCCUCCCAUGGCCUCUUCCCUCAGAGUCCCAGGAGCAGCUGCUAGAGAACAUGGAAGCUGCAGAUGGAACUGCUGCCCAGCCCAGCUUGAAGCUACACAAGAAUCCUUCUGACAGGAGCCCCAAUAUUCCUUCCCAGAGGCACUGAAAACACUUCCCUAUCUGUUUUGCCUGUUCCAUGCAGACAUCACAAGAAACAUCCUGUCUUUCCUUUGGGGCAAGGCCAGGACCCCAAAUUCACACUCAAAAUGCUGGAUUGCGGCUCAUUUCUGCAUCUGGCUGUCAGUAUCCACGGAGGAAAGGUUAAUUCUACUACCAAAUUAACUAGUUGAAGUUGAAGAUAUGUUGAACUUGGCAUUUAAAACCUGUCCAUGGUGCCUGUCAUGGGUCUUUGCCAGCUCCUCAUGGCCUGCAAGGAGCAACUGAAGAGCAAGAGCUGGCAUGGAGGAGGUACGACACGUGGGUGCAGAGGAGAUGCAGCACUUGAGGACAGCUUUUUGUGCUAGUUAGGACUUUCUAAAUAAAAACUCUAUUAAACCUCAA